Molecule: ribosomal RNA, 556 nt
Filed under: uncultured fungus
Lineage: Eukaryota; Fungi
Description: eukaryotic LSU rRNA
Rfam family: 5.8S ribosomal RNA (bases 174-328)
Source: RNAcentral
CGACCUCCACCCUUGUGUUAACUAUACCACGUUGCUUCGGCGGGCCCGUCUUCUGUCACAGGAGGACCGCCGGAGGGGUCUCGAACCCCCUCUGGCCCGUUGCCCGUCGAUAGCCCAACAUAAACUCUUGAAUCAACCAUGUCGUCUGAGUUCAAAUUUUAUAAUUAAAAUAAAACUUUCAACAACGGAUCUCUUGGUUCUGGCAUCGAUGAAGAACGCAGCGAAAUGCGAUAAGUAAUGCGAAUUGCAGAAUUUCAGUGAGUCAUCGAAUCUUUGAACGCACAUUGCGCCCUUUGGUAUUCCGAAGGGCAUGCCUGUUCGAGCGUCAUUAUCACCUCUCAAGCCUGGCUUGUUGUUGGACUUUCGGUCUGGGCUCGCCCCCGACCGGUCCCAAAACUAAUGACGGCGUCCGUGGGACUCUCGGUGCAACGAGCUUUCUUUAAGCACGCACGGAGUCGAAAGGUCCCCGGCACGGUCUUUAACCAUUUUUCUUAAGGUUGACCUCGGAUCAGGUAGGAAUACCCGCUGAACUUAAGCAUAUCAAUAAGCGGAGGAA